AGUGAACGCUGGCGGUAGGCCUAACACGUGCAAGUCGAACGGCAGCACAGUAAGAGCUUGCUCUUACGGGUGGCGAGUGGCGGACGGGUGAGGAAUACAUCGGAAUCUACUUUUUCGUGGGGGAUAACGUAGGGAAACUUACGCUAAUACCGCAUACGACCUACGGGUGAAAGCAGGGGAUCUUCGGACCUUGCGCGAUUGAAUGAGCCGAUGUCGGAUUAGCUAGUUGGCGGGGUAAAGGCCCACCAAGGCGACGAUCCGUAGCUGGUCUGAGAGGAUGAUCAGCCACACUGGAACUGAGACACGGUCCAGACUCCUACGGGAGGCAGCAGUGGGGAAUAUUGGACAAUGGGCGCAAGCCUGAUCCAGCCAUACCGCGUGGGUGAAGAAGGCCUUCGGGUUGUAAAGCCCUUUUGUUGGGAAAGAAAAGCAGCAGGUUAAUACCCCGCUGUUCUGACGGUACCCAGAGAAUAAGCACCGGCUAACUUCGUG
Molecule: ribosomal RNA, 492 nt
Filed under: uncultured bacterium
Lineage: Bacteria
Description: partial 16S ribosomal RNA
Rfam family: Bacterial small subunit ribosomal RNA
Source: RNAcentral